ACGGUGCAGACCACUCCGAGUUGCACAUCACUGUGACUGCACACUUUUUGUGCCGCAAAUACCACACGCUUCGGUUGUGAUUUUUUUGGGGGGUGAGUGGUUGUGCAAUCUGAAGGUUGGACUUGAGCUCGUUAUUAUUUUUUUUUUUUGGUGUGGGGGGGACUUUAGUGAGGAAGAGGAGGAGUAGCGUGAGCCUGAUGUGCAACAGAAUGGCGUUGAUAUCAACUAAAAAGUUGCCAUCGGAGGGCAAAAGGCCAGCAAGGGUGAGGCCGAGGGGCUGCAGAUGGAAACAAGUGGGUGGUUGCAAGGCUGGAUGACUGAACUCAGAGACGACCCCCUCAGUGCAGCUCAUCAUCAUCAUGAUCAUCGCCAUGGGCUCUUGUCUUCCUCCUCCUGUGGCCCACACCUCCAUCCAAGGGGUCCAAGCUCAGCACCGUGAACGCCUGAGCAGGAAGUUAUAGUGAGUGGGCAGAGGAAGGAUGGAGAAGAUCCCUGAAGGCUAGAAGCACCUCUGCAUGCAAGAGAAAUCAAUACCAAGUAUGCUUCGCCUUGGAGUGGGGCUUUCCUCUGGUUCUCUGCGGCCUCGGGGCUCACAGGCCUCCAAAGGACGGGCCCUCUCAACUGGACCGGACCCCCUUCUCCACUUGUGUGGUUUUGCUGAAGGGGGUCCCCCAUCACCUUCCAAUCCCAAUACACUGAAAGCUGAGACACAGCCAAGAGGGAUAUUUCUUUUUCUUCAUCUUUCCCCCCCCUGCAACAGAUUGACAUAUCCCUGCCUUCUUUCAAUAGGACUUUUGACUUGCUUCGACGGUGCAACCUUUAGUUUUCCCUCCAUUCUUGCUCUGCUGUUGCUUAGGCGAGCUGAGCAAACCAGAAACUCUUUCUGUUGGACUGAACAGCAAAGAAAGCAAUCUUCUCUAUCUAAAGCCUGGGGACUCCUGGUUGGAAUGGAUCCAUCAGCAUGAGGAGAUUUCACGUCUGAUGACCAGUAGUCAAUGUCAUUAAUUGCCACAUGAAGACUAGAAAUAUCAUUUUCAUAAAAUCUUAUAAUGAUGACGACCAUUGUGGGUUUUCUUCUUGUAUUGAUGAAUACAUUUUGUAGUAAAUAUGUGUACAAUAAAGAACAUUAUGCUUCAGUAUGUUUCUCAUCAU
Long non-coding RNA from Doryrhamphus excisus (bluestripe pipefish), 1152 nucleotides. RefSeq lists it as uncharacterized. The record is from RefSeq and is a predicted model, not a curated record. Lineage: Eukaryota; Metazoa; Chordata; Actinopteri; Syngnathiformes; Syngnathidae.